RNAcentral lists this unclassified non-coding RNA (225 nucleotides) under plant metagenome. RNAcentral's name for it is "partial contains small subunit ribosomal RNA, internal transcribed spacer 1, and 5.8S ribosomal RNA". The record is from RNAcentral.
UUUCCGUAGGUGAACCUGCGGAAGGAUCAUUAGUGAAUUGAAUAUUUUAGCGGUCCUUUUCGGAGUCCCUAGCAUCAACUCAUAUCCAUUACCCCUGUGACCUGGCAGGCUGUCUUGAAAACGAAAGCGAUUAGAGCGCCUGCCCAUUUAAUACAAUCAUUAACGUAUCAAACGUAGUCUUAUUCUAAUCAAAUAAAACUUUCAACAACGGAUCUCUUGGCUCUC